AUGCCAUAUCAUAUAUUCGUAUGUUUACUUGUUUAUUGUCUGUUUCCAUUAGAACGCCAGCCCCAUGAUGAUGGCACCUGUAUUGGGUUCACUCCUGAAGUCUCAGUGCCUAGAGCAGGGUCUGCCGUGUGGAGGGGACCAAGACCUAUGUACGUGAUGAAGGCAGCCAUUACUGAAGCAGGGAGCAGUUUCAGUAUUGAGGAUUCAACACAGGAGGAGCAGGAAGAGAGUGGAGUGGUGUGAACAGGCCUCUCAGAUGACCCAAGAGCCUGGAUACAAGGUACAGAGAAUUCUGUGGUCCUGCCCACUCAGGCUCACUGUCUGAGGAUGUUGUCAUCCUGCCCUGGUUAGAUCCAUGAGCGUUAAAGGCAAGUGGGUACCAGCCUGGAGACCUCCAUUCUAGCUUCAUUCUGCUCACCACUUGCCAAACUCAGGUCACUGUUCCUAAGCCUUGGUUUCCUGACUUACUAAGCAAAAUGACAAAGAGGGGCCAGGGGUAAACCCCACCAUCAGGUUUCCAUCCAAGACUAUGGCAAUCCAAAAAGUGAAGCUGCCAUUGUAUUUUCUAUGUUCUUUAUUACUUUACAUAUGCCCUACCAUGUUCCAGAGAGGAAUUAAAGCAUAUUACAAUUAAAGCAUAAAACAAUAAGAUAUUUUAUAGAGAUGAAGAAAAAUUUGAUGAUCAUGAUGAUUCAUUCAGCAAGAUCAAUCCAAAAAUACUUAAUGGAUGCCACUCUUGUUUUUAUAUGUAAAUCUAUUUUAUAUGCAUUCCAUCAACCAGAAAUCACAUUUAUCUGGCACAUCUGUACUUUUUCUUCUAAAUAGUAAUUCAUCUUUAUAAUAAAUGAGGCAUUUGCACUAGUGGAGAGGUUCAGAAUGCAGGAUCUGCCCUGGUUUGAACUUCUCUGUCACUUCUGUCUUGUGUAACAUUGUGAAUCAUGUAACCUCACUCAUCCCUAUACUUCUCAUCUCUAAAAUUGGAAUCAUAAUUUGAUUCUAAAUUAUCUUAUAAUGAUAGAGAGUGCCACCUAGCAUCCAGAUCUUGUUUUCUAAAAACCAUUCUCCGAUAAAAGGAUCCAGGGCUCCUUUGUAAGAGUAGUUGAUGGUAGGAGUGAAGUAGAGAAAACCCAGGAUGAAUCUGGAGCAUUUCGGUCCCAGAAAUUAAGGAAGUACCCACGAACAGACAAUAGCAUGUCAGAAGGGCAUAAGAGUUAACAUGAAAGAGGUUCCAAUAGCUGGAGCUGGAACAGUUUGAGCAGCAAAAUAAAUUAAUAAUAGGAUUGGAUUAUAACUCAUUGAAUGAAAUAACUAUCCAUGAGUCAACACAGAUAUAAAUAAAUAGUUGAAUAAACAAAUGGGGAAGGGACAAAUCUUUGCAGAAGAAUUACAACUAAUAAGUGAGGGAGUGAGGGACAUAUAAAAUCACCUCAAAACACCACAGGCAAGAUGCCCAGAUGGAUGCUGAGAUUAUGUGCAGAAGUUUGGAGGGAAAUAUAUUAUUUAAAUAGUCUCAAAGUAUCUAGGCCAAGACGCUUAUCAAUUACAAAGAGAAAACAAUAACUUUACAGUGGGGAAAUCCAGCCAACAUCACCAUAACCAAAGGAUUGUGGUCAGCAUCACUAGUAAUGACACACCAGCAUCAUGUACCUCCUGAUAUGAUUGACUGAGGACACAUCACUUCUAAAGCAUUCUUGAUAAAAAUGCGUAACCUCAAACUAAUAAGAAAACAUCAAACAAGCCCAAUUUGAGAGACACUCUGCAAAAAUAACUGACUGGUCCUUCCCAAAAUAUCAAGGUCAUGAGAGACUAGAGGAGACUGAGGAGCUGUCACAGACAGGAGGAGACUGGAAGUCAGGCCAACUAAAUGCUAUGUGGAUCUUAGAUUAGAGCCCAGAACAGAAAAAGGAUAUUCAUGCUCCUGGCAGAGAGAACAGCAGGAGAAAAGGCUGGGGG
This 1953-nucleotide long non-coding RNA is filed under the name Canis lupus familiaris (dog). RNAcentral describes it as "lncRNA (ENSCAFG00040011596.1)". Lineage: Eukaryota; Metazoa; Chordata; Mammalia; Carnivora; Canidae. The record is from RNAcentral.